Molecule: ribosomal RNA, 912 nt
Filed under: Burkholderia sp. E1R4_pA
Lineage: Bacteria; Pseudomonadati; Pseudomonadota; Betaproteobacteria; Burkholderiales; Burkholderiaceae
Description: bacterial SSU rRNA
Rfam family: Bacterial small subunit ribosomal RNA
Source: RNAcentral
AGAGUUUGAUCAUGGCUCAGAUUGAACGCUGGCGGCAUGCCUUACACAUGCAAGUCGAACGGCAGCACGGGGGCAACCCUGGUGGCGAGUGGCGAACGGGUGAGUAAUACAUCGGAACGUGUCCUGUAGUGGGGGAUAGCCCGGCGAAAGCCGGAUUAAUACCGCAUACGCUCUACGGAGGAAAGGGGGGGAUCUUAGGACCUCCCGCUACAGGGGCGGCCGAUGGCAGAUUAGCUAGUUGGUGGGGUAAAGGCCUACCAAGGCGACGAUCUGUAGCUGGUCUGAGAGGACGACCAGCCACACUGGGACUGAGACACGGCCCAGACUCCUACGGGAGGCAGCAGUGGGGAAUUUUGGACAAUGGGGGAAACCCUGAUCCAGCAAUGCCGCGUGUGUGAAGAAGGCCUUCGGGUUGUAAAGCACUUUUGUCCGGAAAGAAAACCUCUGGGUUAAUACCCCGGGGGGAUGACGGUACCGGAAGAAUAAGCACCGGCUAACUACGUGCCAGCAGCCGCGGUAAUACGUAGGGUGCAAGCGUUAAUCGGAAUUACUGGGCGUAAAGCGUGCGCAGGCGGUCCGCUAAGACAGAUGUGAAAUCCCCGGGCUUAACCUGGGAACUGCAUUUGUGACUGGCGGGCUAGAGUAUGGCAGAGGGGGGUAGAAUUCCACGUGUAGCAGUGAAAUGCGUAGAGAUGUGGAGGAAUACCGAUGGCGAAGGCAGCCCCCUGGGCCAAUACUGACGCUCAUGCACGAAAGCGUGGGGAGCAAACAGGAUUAGAUACCCUGGUAGUCCACGCCCUAAACGAUGUCAACUAGUUGUCGGGUCUUCAUUGACUUGGUAACGUAGCUAACGCGUGAAGUUGACCGCCUGGGGAGUACGGUCGCAAGAUUAAAACUCAAAGGAAUUGACGG